RNAcentral lists this ribosomal RNA (253 nucleotides) under uncultured bacterium. Its description in RNAcentral is "partial 16S ribosomal RNA". It matches the Rfam family "Bacterial small subunit ribosomal RNA", at positions 524 to 776 of the family's 1533-position model. The record is from RNAcentral.
UACGGAGGGCGCGAGCGGUUUUCGGAAUCACUGGGCGUAAAGCGCGUGUAGGCGGCCGAGCAAGUCGGAUGUGAAAUCCCGAGGCUCAACCUCGGAACUGCAUUCGAAACUGCUCGGCUCGAGUCCCGGAGAGGAUGGCGGAAUUCCCGGUGUAGGGGUGAAAUCCGUAGAUAUCGGGAGGAACACCAGUGGCGAAGGCGGCCAUCUGGACGGUGACUGACGCUGAGACGCGAAAGCGUGGGGAGCAAACAGG